UAGGGAAUAUUGGGCAAUGGAGGGAACUCUGACCCAGCCAUGCCGCGUGCAGGAUGAAGGCGUUAUGCGUUGUAAACUGCUUUUAUAUAGGAAGAAAUAGUCCUUGCGAGGAAAGUUGACGGUACUAUAUGAAUAAGCACCGGCUAACUCCGUGCCAGCAGCCGCGGUAAUACGGAGGGUGCAAGCGUUGUCCGGAUUUAUUGGGUUUAAAGGUGCGUAGGCGGUUUAUUAAGUCAGUGGUGAAAGACGGUCGCUCAACGAUUGCAGUGCCAUUGAUACUGGUAGACUUGAGUAUGAUUGAGGUAGCUGGAAUGGAUAGUGUAGCGGUGAAAUGCAUAGAUAUUAUCCAGAACACCAAUUGCGUAGGCAAGUUACUAAGUCAUAACUGACGCUGAGGCACGAAAGUGUGGGUAUCAAACAGGAUUAG
Molecule: ribosomal RNA, 427 nt
Filed under: uncultured bacterium
Lineage: Bacteria
Description: bacterial SSU rRNA
Rfam family: Bacterial small subunit ribosomal RNA
Source: RNAcentral